This is a long non-coding RNA of Vicia villosa (hairy vetch), 839 nucleotides long. RefSeq lists it as uncharacterized. The record is from RefSeq and is a predicted model, not a curated record. Lineage: Eukaryota; Viridiplantae; Streptophyta; Magnoliopsida; Fabales; Fabaceae. The transcript has 5 exons.
UGAGAAUUUCAAUCGACCUAUGCAUUCCACGCUUUUAUGCUUACAACGGCUACCUUCAAGCAUCAUUGUAAAUUGUUCUUCUCGAAGCAGCCUUCCAAUUCCAAUGACUCUGAUCAUCAAUAUCGUUACUUCCAUCCAGAUAACCAUAAAUGUUUCAUGGCUGCCGGAAAAUACGACUAUGUUAACGACAUCACUCCUGCCAAGGAAUCCUGGGACAUUGUUGUUCGAGUUGUUCGUUUAUGGUUUGUACCAGAUUUGAAUUCCAAACAAAAUUUUUAUGCAAUGGAAAUGGUUUUGAUGGAUGAAGAGAUUCUUCUUUUAGGGAAGCGACUAUGGUUGUUGGAAAAUGUGGUUAUGAACCUGACAUUGGAACCUUGAAGGAUAAUAAAACGGAGAAGAUGCACAAUUGUACACAUCCAUAAGAUGAAGAAGAAAUCACUAUCAGUCAUUUGAACAGAAUGGUUUUCACAUAUAUAAGAGAACAAACGUAUGGUUGCCUACUUGGAAGAUAUUUACGGGGAUUCUAGAGGCAACAAGAUGGUUGUACUUUGCUGGUUUCACAGAAUUGAAGAGGUUGAUAUUGUUUUACCUCACAGUUUUAGUGACAACAAGUUUUGUUUUCUCUUUUUCUUCAAGAUCGGAGUAUUGAAUGUAUAAAUGGUUUAAUUUUCGUCCUCAGUCUCCAGCACUAUGCAAUAGCCAGUGCCACUGGGUUUACUAAACUGUUUUACAUAGUCACUUAGGUAUUUACUAAAUUGUUUUACAUGUUAUAUUUUGAUGAUUGUUGAACUGUUACAUAGAUCAUAUUAUGAUGAUUGUUGAUAUUAUGAUGAUUAUUG